Molecule: ribosomal RNA, 1016 nt
Filed under: Ophiosphaerella aquatica
Lineage: Eukaryota; Fungi; Ascomycota; Dothideomycetes; Pleosporales; Phaeosphaeriaceae
Description: SSU rRNA
Rfam family: Eukaryotic small subunit ribosomal RNA
Source: RNAcentral
UUAUACCGUGAAACUGCGAAUGGCUCAUUAAAUCAGUUAUCGUUUAUUCUGAUAGUACCUUACUACUUGGAUAACCGUGGUAAUUCUAGAGCUAAUACAUGCUGAAAACCCCAACUUCGGGAGGGGUGUAUUUAUUAGAUAAAAAACCAACGCCCUUCGGGGCUUCUUGGUGAUUCAUGAUAACUUUACGGAUCGCAUGGCCUUGCGCCGGCGACGGUUCAUUCAAAUUUCUGCCCUAUCAACUUUCGAUGGUAAGGUAUUGGCUUACCAUGGUUUCAACGGGUAACGGGGAAUUAGGGUUCGAUUCCGGAGAGGGAGCCUGAGAAACGGCUACCACAUCCAAGGAAGGCAGCAGGCGCGCAAAUUACCCAAUCCCGACACGGGGAGGUAGUGACAAUAAAUACUGAUACAGGGCUCUUUUGGGUCUUGUAAUUGGAAUGAGUACAAUUUAAACCUCUUAACGAGGAACAAUUGGAGGGCAAGUCUGGUGCCAGCAGCCGCGGUAAUUCCAGCUCCAAUAGCGUAUAUUAAAGUUGUUGCAGUUAAAAAGCUCGUAGUUGAACCUUGGGUCUGGCUGGCAGGUCCGCCUCACCGCGUGUACUUGUCCGGCCGGGCCUUCCUUCUGGAGAACCUCAUGCCCUUCACUGGGCGUGUUGGGGACCAGGACUUUUACUUUGAAAAAAUUAGAGUGUUCAAAGCAGGCCUUUGCUCGAAUACGUUAGCAUGGAAUAAUAGAAUAGGACGUGCGGUCCUAUUUUGUUGGUUUCUAGGACCGCCGUAAUGAUUAAUAGGGACAGUCGGGGGCAUCAGUAUUCAAUUGUCAGAGGUGAAAUUCUUGGAUUUAUUGAAGACUAACUACUGCGAAAGCAUUUGCCAAGGAUGUUUUCAUUAAUCAGUGAACGAAAGUUAGGGGAUCGAAGACGAUCAGAUACCGUCGUAGUCUUAACCGUAAACUAUGCCGACUAGGGAUCGGGCGAUGUUCUUUUUCUGACUCGCUCGGCACCUUACGAGAAAUC